GAGUCUUUCUCUCCUUAUCCCCCGAGCAUUUCGGUCCCUCGUGAUUCGACUUCUCUUUCUGUAGCUUAGUAUAGUAAGGUGAGCGCUGAAGCGCUGCACGAAUCUUUCUUAGAAAGAUUCAGCGACGAAGUUCUGCCCCUGCAGAGCCCGACUCCUAGCUAAAACCCCCUUGUAAGUUUCGUCGAAGGAAAAUAGAAUCGUUAGAAGCAAGCGCUGCUCGAUUUUGGAAUCAUCACCUUAACAAGUGGAGAUGGAUAUGGCAAAUUGUGGUUGUGGUGGAUGGUGGUCAAACAAUGGUUGCGGAGGACGACGGUCGAAUGGUGGUGGUGGCAGAAGAUAUUCUUUAGCGUUCUUGAGGAAGAAUAAGAAGAUGGGUGAGAGAGAGAGAGAGAAAGAAAGAGAGAGAGAGGGAUAGUAUUUUCUUUUUUCUUUUAUUUUUAAUUCUAUUUAAUUGUUGUAAUAAAAGAAAAUUAAAAUAUUAAAUAAUCAGGGGCAAAAUCGUCUUUAUAAAAAAAUUCAAACAAAAUCGGACCAAAUUCGCAACAAAAUGAAAAGUUUGGACCUCUGGUGCUAGUCCAAACAUUUUUGGACCAAAGUGACAAU
Lactuca sativa (garden lettuce) is the source of this 603-nucleotide non-coding RNA. The record is from RefSeq and is a predicted model, not a curated record. Lineage: Eukaryota; Viridiplantae; Streptophyta; Magnoliopsida; Asterales; Asteraceae.